CCGCCCCGCCCAAACCUGCCUCUCUGCCCACUGUGUCUGUUUCUCUCCCCAAGCUGUGGUCUGGACCAGCCAGUGACACAUAAUUCCAAAUCCUGCCCACAGUCUUCUGUGACUUUGGAGGAAAGGCCAGAGUGUUUUCCUAGGGGAGCCCCGUGUUUUCACAUUUUAAAGCAGGUACUGGUGGAGCGAUGAAUGGUGAAAGCUCUCUCUUUAAAAGACCGAGGGUGGCUUUAGGUGACUGCUAAUUUGGGCUUUUGCGGAGGAUGAUGUUUACUUCACAGACUAAUGACAGGGCUGGCUUUCUGGGAGUGUUGCAAUGAAAAAGAUUCAGACUCCACGGAACUCCUCCCUAGCAAGGCUGCUCCAGCCAGCAUUACGAGGGCAGUUCCACUGAGCUCAGGAUUUGGGUGUGAGACACAGCUUUCGUCAGAAGAUUUUUAACCAAAUGUGUGUGUGGUUUUGUCCUCUGGAUAAAUGUGUGGGUUCAGUAGCAGCCGUAUCUCCUCGCCACAUUCUCUUAGCUGGUUAUGCGACUGUGAGAAGAAAAGCAAGAACAAAACAAAAAACAUAGUUGUGACUCUAUAUUAGUUAAAAAUACACCUAUGGAAUUUGAAGGCACCACAGAAGUCAUCUGCAAAUGGGAAAAACUGAAGCCCAGAGAAGGAGAGUGCCCUGUCCAAAGUCACACAGCAAUGCUUUGUAGCAAAGGAGUGGGAACGUGGAGGAGGAUGGGAGAAGCGAGCUGACUGUUACUGAGUGCCUUUAAGUGUCAGGCAUUGAGCCCACAGCUGCUUCCCGUGUGCAUCAUUAUCGAGGAUCCAAGGAACCAAGACAGAUGAACGAACACAGUGCAAAGAACCCGAGCUGUAGCUCCAGCAGAUCUGAGUUUGAAUCUUGGCUCCAACACUCAUUCGUUGUGUGGCCUUAGCAAGGAUUUGACCUCCUCAGCCUCGUUUUCUCAAGUUAUAGAGGGGGCCCCAACCUUGUGGAUCAAAGGCAAAGAAAGGUGGGCUUCUGGAGGCCUGGCACAAGUACAUGUGGCAUUUCUGACAGUGACUGUUUCUGGGUCUCUGGUUCCUGCCAGAUAGACCUGCUACUAUUCCGGCUUUUGGUGGGUGACCCUGGCCCCUGGGCUCAGGUAAUUCUGCUUCUCCUUCUCCUUGUGCACCCAGCCCUUGAAGGGGUGAGCAUUACUUCCGGCUGCUUGGGGUUGCCUCAUCAUCACCUGGUAGAUUUCCCAACUCCGCAGUCACUCGUGUAACCAAUUCUCUGUAUUAAAUCUCCCUUGUUGUAAGUAUUCAGAGUGGUUUCUCCUUUCUAGGUUGGACUCUGACUAAUAUACCAGCUUAGUUAGUGACUGUACUUUAGAGAGUAAGGUCACUGAUGUUUAUCUUGGAGGAGGUGGUGUAUUUCUUUUUGUAUUUUUCCAGUUAAUUAUGGGGCAAGGUUGUGUGUGUAUGAACAAACCAGCUGGAUACAUUUGUGUGGUCUGCCAGACCACAUUGUUGCUCAGUUUGAGCUCUGAGGGCUCCCUGUGCAAGUUCUGCAUAGGCAACAUGCCCUCUGGACUUCAGAGACUCUGCAUGACCCCUGCCUGCAGCCCCAGCCCUAGUGAGAAGACAGGAGUCGGGUCUCAGCCCCUGAGUUCCUGUUGGAAAAGUAGCAUAAAGAAGGAUGUUGGGGAAGCCAGGAACUGGUGAAAGGAGAGACUGAGAGGCAUGAAGAAGGAAGGAAAGGAAGGGGAAAGAGAGAAUGGAACAGGUGUAUCCGUGUGUAGCACAGUGUCUCUACAUAGAAGGGCUCAAUGGGUAUCUGCUGAAUGAAUGAAAGACUAGAGGAAGUAGACGGAACAAGUAGAGAGUGUGGGUAGUACUGGCAAAGACCGAGCGGACCUUUGUCUCCAUUCCUGCUGCUGUCACCCUGCUUCAGGGCUUCCAAACAGGUCACCUAUGACAACAGCCUCCUAACUGGUUUCCUGGCCUCCAGUCUUCCUGACCACUGCUUCAGUAGUCUUUUCCAAAAUCACAAUCUCAGUUGCUUGAGCCUAAAUGUGUUAGUGGCUCCUGGAUGAGUAGUGAUUAAAUUCUGUCGUGUACUUGUGAGCCUCAUCUUCUACUUUACUACCCUACUUUCCACCUGGACUCUUCACAGUGUUCCCCACUCCUGGAACGUGUAGGGGGAUGGACAUGUCCUUACCCUCAGACCUGCUCCCUAAACCUGCUUCCUCGGUUUUUAUCUUUGUCUGUUUGAGGCCUGGGACGCUACCGUGACUUGGGACAGGGUUGGGGAACAGAAAGUUGGGUAACUAAACUCACAUCUGGCCCUUGACCCCACCUCCUGCUCUCCCUCUCCCCAUAAUUCCUUUCGGCUCUUGAAGAGCCUGGGACGGUGGUCCCACUGCAGCAGCCUGGAGGUCACUCAGAGGUUCUCACACGCCGGGCUCCUGAGAGAGAAUGGGUGGGGAGCCAGGCUGUUAGUGCCAAAAGGGCCAGCUCCCCAAGCAGGCUUUCUUCCUGCUCAGAGAGGUCUCACCGUGACUGCUGCCAAGCUGUGUAUGCCAGAGCAGAAGUACAGACUGGCUCUGUGUGAGUGAGAAGACAAAUGAGCAUGUCAAAUGUGCUUCCCCAUAGCCUGGCAGGGUAGGCUGGGACUGCAUGGGAAGCCAGGCUGGGACUGGAAGAUUUUUGCUGACUUUGCUGGAAGAGCUGGAAGACACCUACUUCAACCACGCCACUCGAAUUCAAUCCAAUUAACAUUUGCAGAUUCCUGUGACACGACAUGGUGGUUUUGAUUUGCACAGACCUGGGUGUGAAUCUUUGCUCUGUUGCUUACCUGCUAUGCAGGCAAAUUACUUAAUCUCUCAUUUUCCUCAUCUGUAAAAUGGACUAAUAAAUACUCUCCUUAUAGAGUACCAAGUAUUUUGC
Equus caballus (horse) is the source of this 2924-nucleotide long non-coding RNA. NCBI's taxonomy places the organism in Eukaryota, Metazoa, Chordata, Mammalia, Perissodactyla, Equidae. The record is from Ensembl.